Molecule: small nuclear RNA, 166 nt
Organism: Mastomys coucha (southern multimammate mouse)
Lineage: Eukaryota; Metazoa; Chordata; Mammalia; Rodentia; Muridae
Product: U1 spliceosomal RNA
Exons: 1
Source: RefSeq, a predicted model, not a curated record
AUACUUACCUGGCAGGAGAGAUACCAUGAUCAUGAAGGUGGUUUUCCCAGGUCGAGCCUUAUCCAUUGCAUUCCAGAUGUACUGAUCCCUUCCAUUUCCCCAAAUGCAGGGAAACUUGACUGCAUAAUUCAUGGUAGUUGGGGGCUGUGUUCUAGCUCUGCCCUGG